UGGAGAACCAUAUUGUGUUACAGAAAAAGAAUCAUAAGUGUAUGCCUACAGUGUUUGCUAGAGCAGUUUUGAAGUGGUUCAAGGCCUUGCUGUGCUCCAUCCAGGGCAAGGAUAUAGAAAUUUCAGACAAUU
This 132-nucleotide small nucleolar RNA is filed under the name Nannospalax galili (Upper Galilee mountains blind mole rat). Its description in RNAcentral is "Small nucleolar RNA SNORA9 (ENSNGAG00000007527.1)". Lineage: Eukaryota; Metazoa; Chordata; Mammalia; Rodentia; Spalacidae. The record is from RNAcentral.